CAAGCUGUAAAUUAUGUUCGCUAGGUGUCUUUGCUUUAUUGCAGGGGUGCCGCAACCUAACGGGUUAAGCGAACCGCCUGGGUAGUAUACUCGCAAGAGUGAAACUCAAAGGGAUAGGCGGGGGAACACACAAGCAGUGGAUAAUCUCGAUUAAUUGGAUACGAAGCCAGAAAUCUUACCUAGACUUGACAUGUAUUGUGUCUACGAUGAAAGUCGUAUAGCUAUAGCAAUAUAGCGCUUUACACAGGUGG
RNAcentral lists this ribosomal RNA (251 nucleotides) under uncultured bacterium. Its description in RNAcentral is "partial 16S ribosomal RNA". It matches the Rfam family "Bacterial small subunit ribosomal RNA", at positions 796 to 1041 of the family's 1533-position model. The record is from RNAcentral.